This 680-nucleotide long non-coding RNA is filed under the name Pogona vitticeps (central bearded dragon). Its description in RNAcentral is "lncRNA (ENSPVIG00000001570.1)". Lineage: Eukaryota; Metazoa; Chordata; Lepidosauria; Squamata; Agamidae. The record is from RNAcentral.
CUUAUGUCAGCUUAGUGGGGAAUUGAAUUCCUCACCACUGGCUUCACAACUCAGUGGCCUAACUGUCCAGGCAGCAAAGAAUUCAUGGGCCAUUGGAACCAAUUAGCAAUUGAGGGACAAGAGCUAGCCAUCGGAAAUGAUGGCAUGAUGAAAUCAGGGGCACAGUUCCUGGAACUCUUCUGCCGUUGGCAGAGCAUGUCACAAUCCCUUCUGCCUCUUAUAAAGAGAGAACCACUCUGGAUUAGGUGAAAUGUUGCUCUCACCCCACCUUGGCAGAUAUUAAAGUUCCAGAACAAGGAAGACAAUGAAGGUCUUUUCCCUUUUCUUCCUGCUGUUCUUCUUGGCAGUCUUCCUUCCUUCAGGUUCUACCCAGAUUUAUGGAAGGACUGGCUGCCUACGUAGAAAAGGAAGAUGGUUCAAGAAUAGAUGCCCAACAAAAUAUCAUCCACUUGGACGAUGUGAACAAGGAUUUAUCUGCUGUGUUAGGAAACAUUGGGCUCCUUGAUAUAAAGUCUCAACUACCGAAAUCAUCAUACCCUGCUGUACUUACAACAUCUCAGGCUCCGCCUUCAGAACUUUCUCCAAUGAAAGAAUGAUCAAAUGAUCUUCAAUUAAAUGCUAGAAAAAUAGUCUUUGCUGUCCCUGCUUCAAACCCCUAAUAAAAGCAAUGAUGCUGAGCA